GAUGAACGCUGGCGGCGUGCCUAACACAUGCAAGUCGAGCGAUCUUCUUCGGAAGAGAGCGGCGGACGGGUGAGUAACGCGUGGGUAACCUGCCCUGUACACACGGAUAACAUACCGAAAGGUAUGCUAAUACGAGAUAAUAUGCUUUUAUCGCAUGGUAGAAGUAUCAAAGCUCCGGCGGUACAGGAUGGACCCGCGUCUGAUUAGCUAGUUGGUAAGGUAACGGCUUACCAAGGCGACGAUCAGUAGCCGACCUGAGAGGGUGAUCGGCCACAUUGGAACUGAGACACGGUCCAAACUCCUACGGGAGGCAGCAGUGGGGAAUAUUGCACAAUGGGCGAAAGCCUGAUGCAGCAACGCCGCGUGAGCGAUGAAGGCCUUCGGGUCGUAAAGCUCUGUCCUCAAGGAAGAUAAUGACGGUACUUGAGGAGGAAGCCCCGGCUAACUACGUGCCAGCCGCCGCCGUAA
RNAcentral lists this ribosomal RNA (468 nucleotides) under uncultured bacterium. RNAcentral's name for it is "partial 16S ribosomal RNA". It matches the Rfam family "Bacterial small subunit ribosomal RNA", at positions 28 to 523 of the family's 1533-position model. The record is from RNAcentral.